UGAUAGGUUAGUUUAAUACACUGCUCUGAUAGGAUAGUCUGAUAGGUUAGUUUAAUACGCUGCUCUGAUAGGAUAGUCUGAUAGGUUAGUUUAAUACACUGCUCUGAUAGGAUAGUCUGAUAGGUUAGUUUAAUACACUGCUCUGAUAGGAUAGUCUGAUAGGUUAGUUUAAUACACUGCUCUGAUAGGAUAGUCUGAUAGGAUAGUUUAAUACACUGCUCUGAUAGGAUAGUCUGAUAGGUUAGUUUAAUACACUGCUCUGAUAGGAUAGUCUGAUAGGAUAGUUUUAUACACUGCUCUGAUAGGAUAGUCUGAUAGGAUAGUCUGAUAGGAUAUUUUAUACACUGCUCUGAUAGGAUAGUCUGAUAGGAUAGUUUUAUACACUGCUCUGAUAGGAUAGUUUAAUACACUGCUCUGAUAGGGUAGUUUAAUACACUGCUCUGAUAGGGUAGUUUAAUACACUGCUCUGAUAGGGUAGUUUAAUACACUGCUCUGAUAGGAUAGUUUAAUACACUGCUCUGAUAGGAUAGUUUUAUACACUGCUCUGAUAGGAUAGUUUUAUACACUGCUCUGAUAGGAUAGUUUUAUACACUGCUCUGAUAGGAUAGUUUUAUACACUGCUCUGAUAGGAUAGUUUUAUACACUGCUCUGAUAGGAUAGUUUUAUACACUGCUCUGAUAGGAUAGUUUUAUACACUGCUCUGAUAGGAUAGUUUUAUACACUGCGCUGAAGACUGACGCCAUUGGAGAUCCACUAAGUAGAAAAAAAAGUAGGGGUCAAAUCUGAAGCCCUAUUCUCUAUGUAGUGCACUAAGGUGAAGGUAGGGGUCAAAUCUGAAGCCCUAUUCUCUAUGUAGUGCACUAAGCGGAUAGUAGGGGUCAAAUCUGAAGCCCUAUUCUCUAUGUAGUGCACUAAGGGGAUAGUAGGGGUCAAAUCUGAAGCCCUAUUCUCUAUGUAGUGCACUAAGGGGAUAGUAGGGGUCAAAUCUGAAGCCCUAUUCUCUAUGUAGUGCACUAAGGGGAAGGUAGGGGUCAAAUCUGAAGCCCUAUUCUCUAUGUAGUGCACAAAUCUGAAGCCCUAUUCUCUAUGUAGUGCACUAAGGGGAUAGUAGGGGUCAAAUCUGAAGCCCUAUUCUCUAUGUAGUGCACUAAGGGGAAGGUAGGGGUCAAAUCUGAAGCCCUAUUCUCUAUGUAGUGCACAAAUCUGAAGCCCUAUUCUCUAUGUAGUGCACUAAGGGGAUAGUAGGGGCACUAUGAAGGGAAUAGGUGGGAAACACCGGUAGGAUCAUUUGUACCAAUGUAAAAGCACAUUGACGAUCCAUAUUCCUUUAAUUAUGAAUGAGGUGAUACUUUAUAGAUUAAUCCCAGACUGCUCUCUGUUUUCUUCACAGAUGCAGACCUUUGAGGGAAAACUUUUAUACUUUGGGUUUUUGGAAUAAUAAAAUGAAAAUAAAUAAAUAAACAUGUUUUGAACAUCUUGUGGUGAA
Oncorhynchus kisutch (coho salmon) is the source of this 1486-nucleotide long non-coding RNA. RefSeq lists it as uncharacterized. The transcript has 2 exons. Lineage: Eukaryota; Metazoa; Chordata; Actinopteri; Salmoniformes; Salmonidae. The record is from RefSeq and is a predicted model, not a curated record.